GUGCAGCAGGCGAGAAUUUUUCUCAAUGGGGGCAACCCUGAAGGAGCGACGCCGCGUGGAGGAUGAAGGCUUUCGGGUUGUAAACUCCUGUCAUUUGAGAACAAGUGGCCGAACCUAACUACUUCGGCCUUGAUAGUAUCAGAAGAGGAAGGGACGGCUAACUCUGUGCCAGCAGCCGCGGUAAUACAGAGGUCCCAAGCGUUGUUCGGAUUCAUUGGGCGUAAAGGGUGCGUAGGUGGCGCCGUCAGUGGGGUGUGAAAUUUCGGAGCUUAACUCCGAAACUGCAUUCCAUACUGCGGUGCUUGAGGACUGGAGAGGAGACUGGAAUUUACGGUGUAGCAGUGAAAUGCGUAGAGAUCGUAAGGAAGACCAGUGGCGAAGGCGGGUCUCUGGACAGUUCCUGACACUGAGGCACGAAGGCCAGGGGAGCAAACGGGAUUAGAUA
Molecule: ribosomal RNA, 445 nt
Filed under: uncultured organism
Description: bacterial SSU rRNA
Rfam family: Bacterial small subunit ribosomal RNA
Source: RNAcentral